GAUCAGGCUAACCCUUAGUUGUUGGCUGUAAGUCCAGUGUAGGUAGGGAUCAGGCUAACCCUUAGUUGUUGGCUGUGAGUCCAGUGUAGGUAGGGAUCAGGCUAACCCUUAGUUGUUGGCUGUAAGUCCAGUGUAGGUAGGGAUAAGGCUAACCCUUAGUUGUUGGCUGUAAGUCCAGUGUAGGUAGGGAUAAGGCUAACCCUUAGUUGUUGGCUGUAAGUCCAGUGUAGGUAGGGAUAAGGCUAACCCUUAGUUGUUGGCUGUAAGUCCAGUUUAGGUAGGGAUAAGGCUAACCCUUAGUUGUUGGCUGUAAGUCCAGUUUAGGUAGGGAUAAGGCUAACCCUUAGUUGUUGGCUGUAAGUCCAGUGUAGGUAGGGAUAAGGCUAACCCUUAGUUGUUGGCUGUAAGUCCAGUUUAGGUAGGGAUAAGGCUAACCCUUAGUUGUUGGCUGUAAGUCCAGUGUAGGUAGGGAUAAGGCUAACCCUUAGUUGUUGGCUGUAAGUCCAGUUUAGGUAGGGAUAAGGCUAACCCUUAGUUGUUGGCUGUAAGUCCAGUGUAGGUAGGGAUCAGGCUAACCCUUAGUUGUUGGCUGUAAGUCCAGUGUAGGUAGGGAUCAGGCUAACCCUUAGUUGUUGGCUGUAAGUCCAGUGUAGGUAGGGAUAAGGCUAACCCUUAGUUGUUGGCUGUAAGUCCAGUUUAGGUAGGGAUAAGGCUAACCCUUAGUUGUUGGCUGUAAGUCCAGUGUAGGUAGGGAUAAGGCUAACCCUUAGUUGUUGGCUGUAAGUCCAGUUUAGGUAGGGAUAAGGCUAACCCUUAGUUGUUGGCUGUAAGUCCAGUUUAGGUAGGGAUAAGGCUAACCCUUAGUUGUUGGCUGUAAGUCCAGUGUAGGUAGGGAUAAGGCUAACCCUUAGUUGUUGGCUGUAAGUCCAGUUUAGGUAGGGAUAAGGCUAACCCUUAGUUGUUGGCUGUAAGUCCAGUGUAGGUAGGGAUAAGGCUAACCCUUAGUUGUUGGCUGUAAGUCCAGUUUAGGUAGGGAUAAGGCUAACCCUUAGUUGUUGGCUGUAAGUCCAGUGUAGGUAGGGAUCAGGCUAACCCUUAGUUGUUGGCUGUAAGUCCAGUUUAGGUAGGGAUAAGGCUAACCCUUAGUUGUUGGCUGUAAGUCCAGUGUAGGUAGGGAUAAGGCUAACCCUUAGUUGUUGGCUGUAAGUCCAGUGUAGGUAGGGAUAAGGCUAACCCUUAGUUGUUGGCUGUAAGUCCAGUGUAGGUAGGGAUAAGGCUAACCCUUAGUUGUUGGCUGUAAGUCCAGUGUAAGUAGGGAUAAGGCUAACCCUUAGUUGUUGGCUGUAAGUCCAGUGUAGGUAGGGAUCAGGCUAACCCUUAGUUGUUGGCUGUAAGUCCAGUGUAGGUAGGGAUAAGGCUAACCCUUAGUUGUUGGCUGUAAGUCCAGUGUAGGUAGGGAUAAGGCUAACCCUUAGUUGUUGGCUGUAAGUCCAGUUUAGGUAGGGAUAAGGCUAACCCUUAGUUGUUGGCUGUAAGUCCAGUGUAGGUAGGGAUCAGGCUAACCCUUAGUUGUUGGCUGUAAGUCCAGUGUAGGUAGGGAUAAGGCUAACCCUUAGUUGUUGGCUGUAAGUCCAGUGUAGGUAGGGAUAAGGCUAACCCUUAGUUGUUGGCUGUAAGUCCAGUGUAGGUAGGGAUCAGGCUAACCCUUAGUUGUUGGCUGUAAGUCCAGUGUAGGUAGGGAUAAGGCUAACCCUUAGUUGUUGGCUGUAAGUCCAGUUUAGGUAGGGAUAAGGCUAACCCUUAGUUGUUGGCUGUAAGUCCAGUGUAGGUAGGGAUCAGGCUAACCCUUAGUUGUUGGCUGUAAGUCCAGUGUAGGUAGGGAUC
Long non-coding RNA from Oncorhynchus keta (chum salmon), 1884 nucleotides. RefSeq lists it as uncharacterized. The record is from RefSeq and is a predicted model, not a curated record. NCBI's taxonomy places the organism in Eukaryota, Metazoa, Chordata, Actinopteri, Salmoniformes, Salmonidae. The transcript is spliced from 10 exons.